This 301-nucleotide ribosomal RNA is filed under the name uncultured bacterium. RNAcentral describes it as "partial 16S ribosomal RNA". It matches the Rfam family "Bacterial small subunit ribosomal RNA", at positions 509 to 807 of the family's 1533-position model. The record is from RNAcentral.
CAGCAGCCACGGGAAUACGUAGGGUGCGAGCGUUGUCCGGAAUUAUUGGGCGUAAAGAGCUCGUAGGCGGCUUGUCGCGUCGGAUGUGAAAGCCCGGGGCUUAACUCCGGGUCUGCAUUCGAUACGGGCAGGCUAGAGUGUGGUAGGGGAGGUCGGAACUCCUGGUGUAGCGGUGAAAUGCGCAGAUAUCAGGAGGAACACCGGUGGCGAAGGCGGAUCUCUGGGCCAUUACUGACGCUGAGGAGCGAAAGCGUGGGGAGCGAACAGGAUUAGAGACCCCAGUAGUCCCUGUCUCUUAUAC